Molecule: ribosomal RNA, 459 nt
Filed under: uncultured bacterium
Lineage: Bacteria
Description: partial 16S ribosomal RNA
Rfam family: Bacterial small subunit ribosomal RNA
Source: RNAcentral
CCUACGCGAGGCAGCAGUGAGGAAUAUUGGUCAAUGGCCGGGAGGCUGAACCAGCCAAGUCGCGUGAGGGACGACUGCCCUAUGGGUUGUAAACCUCUUUUAUAAGGGAAGAAUAAGUGGUACGUGUACCAUUAUGCCUGUACCUUAUGAAUAAGCAUCGGCUAACUCCGUGCCAGCAGCCGCGGUAAUACGGAGGAUGCGAGCGUUAUCCGGAUUUAUUGGGUUUAAAGGGUGCGUAGGCGGUUUUUUAAGUUAGUGGUGAAACUUCGGGGCUUAACGUUGAUUGGCCAUUAAUACUGUAAGACUAGAGUUCAGGAGAGGUAGGCGGAAUAAGUUGAGUAGCGGUGAAAUGCUUAGAUAUCACGCAGAACUCCGAUAGCGAAGGCAGCUUACCAGACUGCGACUGACGCUGAAGCACGAGAGCGUGGGUAGCGAACAGGAUUAGAUACCCCUGUAGUC